UAUCUAUCUAUUAUGCAUUAUCGAUUACAUAUAAAAAGCGAGCAAUUUUUAUAUUCACAUUUUACUAAGGAAUAGUAAUCCUCCAGUUGCUGACUCGUGUCAUUGCUUGCAAUCCUAACCCUCUAUUGAUUUGUUCCCAUUUUUCUUUUCAUCCGCUGUCUUUUCCAUCUCCGUUUUUUUCCUUUACCCACUUCUUGCAAUGCUAACCCACUUCUUGGUUUUUCCCCUCCCUCUCUGCUCCAUCACCCACUUGCUUCCUCUCAUUAAUUAUAAACUUUCUUCUAUGUUUUUUUCUCUUUCCUCUUUCCCUCUUGUGACUUUCUUUCUUGAUUUUAAUGUAGUUUUGAUUUAUUCUCGUUCAGGUGAAUUAAUCAAUUCGAGCAAAGAAAGCAAAGGACUCAUCACUCCAAAGUGAAUCAAUCAUUAUGAUUUGAUUACCAUGAGCUUUGAAGAAGCAGCAAUGUCGUUUGCUGCCCAAUAGUUGAAUAAAGAUGCAAGAUCAGGUAAAGGAAGAAGUAUCAUUUAGUAAUCAAAGGAUUAAAUACCAUGUUUUGAGAAUAAAGGCGGCAUCAACAAAGAAGAAGCCGAGGGUAACAGGCACGGUAGCUAGUGGCCUUGAGCCUUGUGGCUUUUGAAGUUUCUGCUCAUUCUCUAUGACUCCUAUAUUUUUUGAUAUUUGUAUUUUUGAUCAGACGAAAAUAAGCCUUAUGGCUUAUGUAUUAAUAAUUUUUUUGUGGCUUGUCACUUCUACAAUAUUCUUUGGAAUAAUAUUAGUUUUUCUUAUGGCUUUUACAUUA
This is a long non-coding RNA of Amaranthus tricolor (Joseph's coat), 797 nucleotides long. RefSeq lists it as uncharacterized. The transcript has 2 exons. The record is from RefSeq and is a predicted model, not a curated record. NCBI's taxonomy places the organism in Eukaryota, Viridiplantae, Streptophyta, Magnoliopsida, Caryophyllales, Amaranthaceae.